AGGAAGGGAGGACGUAGGAUAGCGGACUAACUGUGCCGCUGUGUGCACGGUUCACAGUUGCACAGGUUCUUUUGGCUUCACGAAUGCCAGCAGUAGCUCCCACAGUGCAGGACACACGCUGCUUUCAACUAUUGGUGGAUUAACACAUCAGGAAGCUUUGAAUCAAGCAGCACCAACAGGUAUUUACUGGAAUCCCAGCUCAGGUUCUCUGCAUCCGUGACUAAGGCAAUUCAGAACCACAUUUGUGGGUGACUUCCGUUUUCCUCCCUGGUGAUCAAAGUUUUUCAAAGUCUGCACUGAUUAGAG
Molecule: long non-coding RNA, 306 nt
Organism: Ochotona princeps (American pika)
Lineage: Eukaryota; Metazoa; Chordata; Mammalia; Lagomorpha; Ochotonidae
Exons: 3
Source: RefSeq, a predicted model, not a curated record